Molecule: transfer RNA, 74 nt
Filed under: Paracandidimonas soli
Lineage: Bacteria; Pseudomonadati; Pseudomonadota; Betaproteobacteria; Burkholderiales; Alcaligenaceae
Rfam family: tRNA
About the family: Transfer RNA (tRNA) molecules are approximately 80 nucleotides in length.
Source: Rfam by way of RNAcentral
CUGCCCUUAGCUCAGUUGGAUAGAGCACAAGUCUUCUAAACUUGGGGUCACAGGUUCGAUUCCUGUAGGGCAGG